This is a non-coding RNA of Potamilus streckersoni, 74 nucleotides long. The record is from the annotation of a GenBank genome assembly. Lineage: Eukaryota; Metazoa; Mollusca; Bivalvia; Unionida; Unionidae.
AGCUUCGGUAUCUCAUUUGGAAGAGCGUAGAAUUCGUAAUCUACUGGUCACGGGUUUAAUACCCGUCCAGGCCA